UACAGAGGUCUCAAGCGUUGUUCGGAUUCAUUGGGCGUAAAGGGUGCGUAGGCGGCUUCCUAAGUUUGAUGUGAAAUCCUGGGGCUCAACCCUGGAACUGCAUUGAAUACUGGGAGGCUAGAGUACUGGAGAGGAAACUGGAAUUUACGGUGUAGCAGUGAAAUGCGUAGAGAUCGUAAGGAAGACCAGUGGCGAAGGCGAGUUUCUGGACAGUUACUGACGCUGAGGCACGAAGGCCAGGGGGAGCAAACGGG
This 254-nucleotide ribosomal RNA is filed under the name uncultured bacterium. RNAcentral's name for it is "partial 16S ribosomal RNA". It matches the Rfam family "Bacterial small subunit ribosomal RNA", at positions 524 to 776 of the family's 1533-position model. The record is from RNAcentral.